Stegodyphus dumicola is the source of this 466-nucleotide long non-coding RNA. The record is from RefSeq and is a predicted model, not a curated record. NCBI's taxonomy places the organism in Eukaryota, Metazoa, Arthropoda, Arachnida, Araneae, Eresidae.
AUAAGACGAAAGCUUUGUUUAUAAUUGUAUUAAAACUGCUCAGCCAGAUAAAAUUGGUGAAUGUAGUGAAGGAUGUCAAUCAUUCCCGCUGCUACGCAGCUAAUUUCAUAAGUAAAUGCCAUAAACAGCAAAAAAUGAAAAAAGACGAAGAAGAAGUAAUUCUUUCUGGUCGAGAUCAAUGGAUUUCGGUCGCAGGAGCGUGUUUUUGUGAAUGUAUUAAAGGUCUAUGCUGUAUUUUGAUUCUGAUGUAUUGUCGCCAAAUAUAUCAGUUGGCGCCAGUCUUAAAAAUUGGUAAGUAUAACAUAAAUUAUAAAUUGUUUAGGUUAUUCUGUAUAGUGAGGUAAAUAUAUUCUGUGUCCUUCAGGAAGCUUCAUAAACUUAAUUAUUUAUUCUUAAUUUUGUCCUAUUUUCAUAUAAAAGUUAAAAUUUUUCACAAAAUUUCAUUCUUAAUAGUGUGAUUAAAUUC